RNAcentral lists this ribosomal RNA (133 nucleotides) under uncultured Geobacter sp. RNAcentral describes it as "partial 16S ribosomal RNA". It matches the Rfam family "Bacterial small subunit ribosomal RNA", at positions 1249 to 1382 of the family's 1533-position model. The record is from RNAcentral. Lineage: Bacteria; Pseudomonadati; Thermodesulfobacteriota; Desulfuromonadia; Geobacterales; Geobacteraceae.
GCGAUACCGCGAGGUGGAGCUAAUCUCAAUAAGCGGUCUCAGUUCGGAUUGGAGUCUGCAACUCGACUCCAUGAAGUUGGAAUCGCUAGUAAUCGCGGAUCAGCAUGCCGCGGUGAAUACGUUCCCGGGCCUU